This 400-nucleotide unclassified non-coding RNA is filed under the name soil metagenome. Its description in RNAcentral is "partial contains 5.8S ribosomal RNA, internal transcribed spacer 2, and large subunit ribosomal RNA". The stretch from base 1 to 122 matches the Rfam family "5.8S ribosomal RNA", at positions 35 to 154 of the family's 154-position model. The record is from RNAcentral.
GAUGAAGAACGUAGCGAAAUGCGAUACUUGGUGUGAAUUGCAGAAUCCCGUGAACCAUCGAGUCUUUGAACGCAAGUUGCGCCUCAAGCCAUUAGGUUGAGGGCACGUCUGCCUGGGCGUCACAUAUCGUUGCCUGAUGCCAGUUUCCUCGUGAUGGGUGACUGUGCAGGGCGAAUGAUGGCUUCCCGUGAGCAUUGUUGCCUCAUGGUUGGUUGAAAAUUGAGUCCUUGGUAGGGAGCGCCGUGAUAGAUGGUGGUUGAGUGACGAACGAGACCCAAUCAUGUGAGACCCCUACCGAAUUUGGCCUUCAUGACCCACAUGCGUCUUUGGAACGCUCAUGACGAGACCUAAGGUCAGGCGGGGCUACCCGCUGAGUUUAAGCAUAUCAAUAAGCGGAGGA